Molecule: ribosomal RNA, 524 nt
Filed under: uncultured bacterium
Lineage: Bacteria
Description: partial 16S ribosomal RNA
Rfam family: Bacterial small subunit ribosomal RNA
Source: RNAcentral
GACGAACGCUGGCGGCGUGCCUAAUACAUGCAAGUCGAACGCUUCUUUUUCCACCGGAGCUUGCUCCACCGGAAAAAGAGGAGUGGCGAACGGGUGAGUAACACGUGGGUAACCUGCCCAUCAGAAGGGGAUGACACUUGGAAACAGGUGCUAAUACCGUAUAACAAUCGAAACCGCAGGGUUUUGAUUUGAAAGGCGCUUUCGGGUGUCGCUGAUGGAUGGACCCGCGGUGCAUUAGCUAGUUGGUGAGGUAACGGCUCACCAAGGCCACGAUGCAUGGCCGACCUGAGAGGGUGGUCGGCCACAUUGGGACUGAGACACGGACCACACUCCUACGGGAGUCAGCAGUAGGGAAUCUUCGGCAAUGGACGAAAGUCUGACCGAGCAACGCCGCGUGAGUGAAGAAGGUUUUCGGAUCGUAAAACUCUGUUGUUAGAGAAGAACAAGGAUGAGAGUAACUGUUCAUCCCUUGACGGUAUCUAACCAGAAAGCCACGGCUAACUACGUGCCAGCCGCCGCGGUAA